UUGCUAUUAAUAAUUAUGUAUAAAGUUCUGUUCCCCAUGGGGGCCUGGUGUGCAAUGGCUGCAAACAGCAGCAUUCUUGGUAGUGUACGCAACCCAUUGCUUAGCAUGGGUUGCCUAAAGGGACCUUGGAUACAGGC
Molecule: small nucleolar RNA, 137 nt
Filed under: Myotis davidii
Lineage: Eukaryota; Metazoa; Chordata; Mammalia; Chiroptera; Vespertilionidae
Description: Small nucleolar RNA SNORA70
Rfam family: Small nucleolar RNA SNORA70
About the family: snoRNA U70 seems to be exclusive to mammals and is a member of the H/ACA class of snoRNA which contain H (ANANNA) and ACA box motifs. H/ACA box snoRNAs are involved in the conversion of uridines to pseudouridines (5-ribosyluracil) a constituent of structural RNAs (transfer, ribosomal, small nuclear, and small nucleolar).
Source: Rfam by way of RNAcentral